Molecule: long non-coding RNA, 3259 nt
Organism: Pipistrellus kuhlii (Kuhl's pipistrelle)
Lineage: Eukaryota; Metazoa; Chordata; Mammalia; Chiroptera; Vespertilionidae
Exons: 2
Source: RefSeq, a predicted model, not a curated record
CAGGGGGGCAGUUAGAAGUGACCAGGCCGGCAAGAAGAGGCAGGGGUGAUCAAGCUGGCAGGUAGAGUGGUUAGGGGCGAUCAGGCAGGUGAGUGGUUAGUAGGUUGCAGUCCCGGAUUGAGAGAGUGAUGUCCAAUUGGCAGUUUAAACUGCAAUCAGACAUCCCUCGGAGGGCUCCAGGAUUGGAGAGGGUGCAGGCUCAGCUGAGGGACCCUCCCCUGCACAAAUUUCAUGCACCGGGUCUCUAGUGAAUUUUAUGUUCACAGAAGGCUUUUUAUAUAGCCAAAAAGCAUGCAUCUCUUUCCCAGUUUCAGCAUAGCUAUAUAAUGGAGUCAGUCUUUUCACCUGAGAUAAGUUCUUUUAAGAAAAGAAGCUUCUAGAAUAAUGCAGUAGAGGUCCGUGAGGGCCAGGACUCAGGGUUUUGUGAAGCCAAUCCUCAGCCAGUAGCACAAGCCCUGCCACAGCGUUGCCCAAUAAGCUGUCUGUAAAAUGCAUCUGCCGUGGUAUUUAGGUUCCGAAUUUAUCGGGUUUAGGUUUGGAAAAGAAGCUGGGCUGCUGGUGAUUGAUUUUGCUGGCCUGCCCUGCCGUGGAAAAAUACUGGCGCUCUGGGAUGACGGUCAUGUUUCCAGCCAGGUUGUGUGUGUGUGUUUUUUCCAAGCCAAGUUUUGUUUUGGAUCUUUAAAAGCCACUGAGCCAAGUAGUACCUGCACCGGAGCUCACAUACAUGGUGAAUCUUUGUCUUUCUCUUCUGGAGUAUUCAGAAACUGAACCGCUAGCGAUAGGCUCAAACCUCUGAGUGCCUUGUCCUGGCUACCAGGCAGGCCCUAGGCGAAGGAGGCAAGACUUGUGUGUGUUUUACUUCUUUUCAUUGCAUGGACUCAUGUUGUGACAUGGACUAAAGACUUCCUCCCUGGGCCCCUGAGAUCUCUCUGCUGCAUUCUAAACUUAACCUUCAGCCAGUUUCGGAGGUUGGAGUUGGGGGUGGGCGGACGUGGCACCUGUUGCUGAGUUGCUCUGAGGCUCAGCAGACCUAGAUUCAGAGUCCAGCCCCGCUGAGACCAGCUCUGUGACUUCAGGCUACAGAGGUAACUUCUCAGAGCCUCGGGGCCCUGUCUGUGCAGCAGGCUGUCUGCAGACAAAGGGACGUGACAGGCACACAUUUACCUGUAGGGCAUCUGGCCUUGAGGAAGUUGGGCAGAGUGGCUCUGCUGGGGGGAGAGGGCCUUGCCCAGUAAAAGGUAGCUUUCACUUCUGUUACAAUUACAUGCUCCGCAUCCGCAGCCUACUUCUUAGUGACUGAGUGAGGAGAAAGGAGAAAGAGUACACAUUUUUAGCACUCUUAUAUUAAUUGGCAAUGUGAACUAUUAGUGUUUGGCCCUGUCUUUCUGUUUCCCUUUCUUUCAUCAUUCUCUCUGAUGAAGGAAGAACACCGUUCUGGGUCACAUUCUAGCAUCUCCUGAGGCAGGAGGCUGUGCUCAGGGAGUUUGUCACUCCUGGUCCAGGGUCCGACUCUCCGCCUCGCUCUGGAACACGAUGCUCCGACCUCAGGGGAGGCAGAGUCCAUUUGAUGCCUGGCCAGUCCACAAAUCAGAGGGAACUUUUCAUUCUCAGAUCCGUGUGUUGCCAUGGACCCUGAACUGUAAAUAACAUUUGGGCAAUGCUCUUAAAAAAAAAAAAAAAAAAAAAAAAAAAAAAAGCAUGUACUCCCAGUGCUGAACUAUCAUUCCAAACUCUAGGAUUUUUUAGAAAAGCAGGUGCUUCUAGUUCAUGGCUGUUUGCUGAGUCUGCUGAUUCUGAUUUACUAGUAAAGGGGCACUAACUCCAAGUCACAGGCCAAAAUAAUUACCUGCCAAUUCUAUACAUUGUAAAGAAGGCUGUUUGCUUAAACGGGGCAUUCUGUAGGCUGACAGACAUGUAACAAAACACACUCGUUCACCCACUGACACCAUAUUCCCUACAAAUUAUUACGAAAGUGGCCCUUUCAGUAUUGAAGGAUCUCAGGUAGGCGAUGUCACAGAAGGAAGCAGGGCAGAUGGCUGCAGCUCCUUGCUCUGCCUUAUUCGUAGACCCCUGCGUGGGGACAGGGCACAGGGAGAGAACCGGUCACUUGCCCAGAGCUCCUGGGUUCUGGAGUCUCUUCCUCAUCAGUGUAUGUUAAUCUUAUAUUUUAAAACCUUGGGACACCAAACAUCAUGUUCAAAAUUAAAUGCACAUUCUAAAGCUAUAUAUUUGCACUCUCCUUUGCUGUUUGGGUUUAUCUGAUCUUUGCACAAUUCGCCUACUGUCUUCACCUGACGGUGAAGAAGAGAGAGUUGUCAUUUUCCAAUCCAUGGGCCAAGAAUGCAGCAGUCAUAAGAAUCCAACUCGUGUCUUCUCCUGCUCUCAGCUUUAUGACUCAGAAAUACCCAUGCACUCAUUCAGAGGCCUAUUCUUGGUCAGUAGGGGAAUCCCUGAUGACUGAUGACUCAAGAGUAAGAGUGUCGGUCUUCGAAUGGUUUUCCCAUGGUCCACUUCACAUCCGCCUGGCCUUUAUUGUCAGUCCAGCCAAAGCCCUGCUUUGUUUAUCUGACUCUUGGUUGGCUUUGGCUCUGCUCACAAAUCCAGCACAGACAAUCGCAUGUGACAGGUGAAAGCUGCAUUAACUUUUAGUAUGAACAGCCCUGUGGCUUCAGGUAUAUACUCUGAAAGUAAUUCUGGUGUAAUUCAAGUUGUAUUUAUGUUUUCUACACCUCAAACUUCAAGAUUUUUAUGUUUUUGAUGGUCAGAUACUUUUAUCAUGUACCAGUAUUAACUUUGGUAGAGUCAUGAUGAGUUUCAGCUUUCCAUAGUCAAAAAUUGAAUUAUAUUAGAUCACUUAUAGGUAUUAGUUCCUGAGGGUCAUUAAUUCUAAAUAUGAGCAAUUCAUAGAAAAUCUAAAUGUCAGCAUCAUGAGCCAAAGCAUUGGGUUGGUGAGCCUCUUCAUCUACUAAACUAGGAAAUUUGGAUUUUGAACAAAGAAUUAGAACAAAAAUUGGCCUUGGUGCAAUUUGCUCUCUCUGUCUGAUUUUACCAGCUAAGCCUUAUUCUAUAAAUCAGAGAUGUUUCUGCCAGCAGCUAGUCCACAAUGGGAACCUGCUGGCUUCUUUUUAUAUUCAGUGUGUCUUUUGGUCACUAAGCCAUCUAUUGUUUAUCUUGCACAUUAGAUCACACCACAUCAUGUGUUGACAGUGAAGAUAAGCCUUAACUUACAUGCAACACAUUAAAUGGAUACAUCUCGUAU